Molecule: ribosomal RNA, 253 nt
Filed under: uncultured bacterium
Lineage: Bacteria
Description: partial 16S ribosomal RNA
Rfam family: Bacterial small subunit ribosomal RNA
Source: RNAcentral
UACGUAGGGUCCGAGCGUUGUCCGGAAUUAUUGGGCGUAAAGGGCUCGUAGGCGGUUCGUCACGUCGGGAGUGAAAACUCGGAGCUUAACUCCGAGCCUGCUUCCGAUACGGGCAGACUAGAGGUAGGCAGGGGAGAGCGGAACUCCUGGUGUAGCGGUGGAAUGCGCAGAUAUCAGGAGGAACACCGGUGGCGAAGGCGGGUCUCUGGGCCGAGAUUGACGCUGAGGAGCGAAAGCGUGGGGAGCGAACAGG